UACGAAGGGGGCUAGCGUUGCUCGGAAUCACUGGGCGUAAAGCGCACGUAGGCGGACUCUUAAGUCAGGGGUGAAAUCCUGGAGCUCAACUCCAGAACUGCCUUUGAUACUGGGAGUCUUGAGUUCGGGAGAGGUGGGUGGAACUGCGAGUGUAGAGGUGAAAUUCGUAGAUAUUCGCAAGAACACCAGUGGCGAAGGCGGCUCACUGGCCCGAUACUGACGCUGAGGUGCGAAAGCGUGGGGAGCAAACAGG
RNAcentral lists this ribosomal RNA (253 nucleotides) under uncultured bacterium. RNAcentral describes it as "partial 16S ribosomal RNA". It matches the Rfam family "Bacterial small subunit ribosomal RNA", at positions 524 to 776 of the family's 1533-position model. The record is from RNAcentral.